UGGGGAAUUGUUCGCAAUGGGCGCAAGCCUGACGACGCAACGCCGCGUGGAGGAUGAAGACCUUCGGGUCGUAAACUCCUUUCGAUCGAGACGAAUGGCCUCCGGGUGAACAAUCCGGAGGAGUGACGGUACCGAGAGAAUAAGCACCGGCUAACUCCGUGCCAGCAGCCGCGGUAAUACGAAGGGUGCAAACGUUGCUCGGAAUCAUUGGGCGUAAAGCGCACGUAGGCGGCCUCAUAAGUCGGAUGUGAAAUCCCUCGGCUCAACCGAGGACGUGCAUCCGAAACUGUGAAGCUCGAGUAUGGAAGAGGGUCGCGGAAUUCCCGGUGUAGAGGUGAAAUUCGUAGAUAUCGGGAGGAACACCAGUGGCGAAGGCGGCGACCUGGGCCAAUACUGACGCUGAGGUGCGAAAGCGUGGGGAGCAAACAGGAUUAGAUACCCUUGUAGUCCCUGAGCGGGCUGGCAAGGCGCAU
Molecule: ribosomal RNA, 473 nt
Filed under: uncultured bacterium
Lineage: Bacteria
Description: bacterial SSU rRNA
Rfam family: Bacterial small subunit ribosomal RNA
Source: RNAcentral